UGUUGUUAAAAACAGGUUCGUAGGGGGACCCCGGGAGGAUCAUUAAAAAAAAAUUAUAAUUUUUAAAAAGGUUUUUUUUUUUUUGUUUUGGCCAGAGCAUGAGAGCUUUUUCUGGGCAAGAAGACCAGAGAUGGAGAGUCCCACCGGGCCUGCGGUUAAGUGCGCGGUCUUGCUAGGCUUGUAAGUUUUUUUCUUGGUAUUUCCAACGGUGAGAGAUUUUUGUGCUUUUGUUAUAGGACAAUUAAAACCGUUUCAAUACAACCCCCUGUGGAGUUUUCAUAUUUUUGCAACUUUUUUUUUGGGCCUUUGAGCCAUCGGGGCCCCGAGGUUAACAAACACAAACAAUUUUAUUUAUUCAUUAAAUUUUUGUCAAAAACAAGAAUUUUCGUAACUGGAAAUUUUAAAAUAUUAAAAACUUUCAACAACGGAUCUCUUGGUUCUCGCAUCGAUGAAGAACGCAGCGAAAUGCGAUACGUAAUGUGAAUUGCAGAAUUCCGUGAAUCAUCGAAUCUUUGAACGCACAUUGCGCCCCUUGGUAUUCCAGGGGGCAUGCCUGUUUGAGCGUCAUUUCCUUCUCAAACAUUCUGUUUGGUAGUGAGUGAUACUCUUUGGAGUUAACUUGAAAUUGCUGGCCUUUUCAUUGGAUGUUUUUUUUUUCCAAAGAGAGGUUUCUCUGCGUGCUUGAGGUAUAAUGCAAGUACGGUCGUUUUAGGUUUUACCAACUGCGGCUAAUCUUUUUUAUACUGAGCGUAUUGGAACGUUAUCGAUAAGAAGAGAGCGUCUAGGCGAACAAUGUUCUUAAAGUUUGACCUCAAAUCAGGUAGGAGUACCCGCUGAACUUAAGCAUAUCAAUAAGCGGAGGAAAAGAAACCAACCGGGAUUGCCUUAGUAACGGCGAGUGAAGCGGCAAAAGCUCAAAUUUGAAAUCUGGUACCUUCGGUGCCCGAGUUGUAAUUUGGAGAGGGCAACUUUGGGGCCGUUCCUUGUCUAUGUUCCUUGGAACAGGACGUCAUAGAGGGUGAGAAUCCCGUGUGGCGAGGAGUGCGGUUCUUUGUAAAGUGCCUUCGAAGAGUCGAGUUGUUUGGGAAUGCAGCUCUAAGUGGGUGGUAAAUUCCAUCUAAAGCUAAAUAUUGGCGAGAGACCGAUAGCGAACAAGUACAGUGAUGGAAAGAUGAAAAGAACUUUGAAAAGAGAGUGAAAAAGUACGUGAAAUUGUUGAAAGGGAAGGGCAUUUGAUCAGACAUGGUGUUUUGUGCCCUCUGCUCCUUGUGGGUAGGGGAAUCUCGCAUUUCACUGGGCCAGCAUCAGUUUUGGUGGCAGGAUAAAUCCAUAGGAAUGUAGCUUGCCUCGGUAAGUAUUAUAGCCUGUGGGAAUACUGCCAGCUGGGACUGAGGACUGCGACGUAAGUCAAGGAUGCUGCAUAGCAGCCU
This 1430-nucleotide ribosomal RNA is filed under the name Saccharomyces cerevisiae (brewer's yeast). RNAcentral describes it as "eukaryotic LSU rRNA". The stretch from base 807 to 1430 matches the Rfam family "Eukaryotic large subunit ribosomal RNA", at positions 1 to 639 of the family's 3401-position model. The record is from RNAcentral. Lineage: Eukaryota; Fungi; Ascomycota; Saccharomycetes; Saccharomycetales; Saccharomycetaceae.